CAUUAGAUGGCUGAAGCAAGCAAUGGUCUCUUAAACCAUCAAAAAGUAAUCUAGCACUUACUUCUAAUG
This 69-nucleotide transfer RNA is filed under the name Urodontus sp. URO01. RNAcentral describes it as "tRNA-Lys". Lineage: Eukaryota; Metazoa; Arthropoda; Insecta; Coleoptera; Anthribidae. RNAcentral also lists the same sequence under 1 other name. The record is from RNAcentral.